RNAcentral lists this ribosomal RNA (357 nucleotides) under uncultured Proteiniphilum sp. RNAcentral's name for it is "bacterial SSU rRNA". It matches the Rfam family "Bacterial small subunit ribosomal RNA", at positions 1027 to 1382 of the family's 1533-position model. The record is from RNAcentral. Lineage: Bacteria; Pseudomonadati; Bacteroidota; Bacteroidia; Bacteroidales; Dysgonomonadaceae.
GAGAUGUGUAGGUGCUGCAUGGUUGUCGUCAGCUCGUGCCGUGAGGUGUCGGCUUAAGUGCCAUAACGAGCGCAACCCUCAUCAUUAGUUACCAUCAGGUAAGGCUGGGGACGUCUAAUGAGACUGCCAUCGUAAGAUGUGAGGAAGGUGGGGAUGACGUCAAAUCAGCACGGCCCUUACGUCCGGGGCGACACACGUGUUACAAUGGGUGGCACAAAGGGCAGCUACCUGGCGACAGGAUGCUAAUCUCGAAAACCGCUCUCAGUUCGGAUCGGAGUCUGCAACUCGACUCCGUGAAGCUGGAUUCGCUAGUAAUCGCGCAUCAGCCACGGCGCGGUGAAUACGUUCCCGGGCCUU